This is a non-coding RNA of Cyanistes caeruleus (blue tit), 11054 nucleotides long. The record is from RefSeq and is a predicted model, not a curated record. NCBI's taxonomy places the organism in Eukaryota, Metazoa, Chordata, Aves, Passeriformes, Paridae.
AUUACAGGAGCUGGAGAGGAAAAUUAUCAUCUAUUACCAUUAUUUUCUGGAUGAGUGGUAAUUACCCAGUAUUCUGGUUUUAGCAGUAGGAUGCUGUUCUGCAUUUGCUACUAUAAACUGGGAGCUUAACAGUUGACAUUAUUCUGUAAUUCUGCUGCAUCUUGCUUCUGAAAUUUGGAAUAGGUAGAGUGUAUGUUUUCGAAUUCGAACUUGUAGCUGAAAUGUUUUUGCAGUGGUUAUAUAAGAAAUACAAAGAUUAAGUGCUAACAACCCAUUUUUUGGAUAGGUUUCCUUGGCAUGAAGACAUAUCUUGUUAAAACAUAAAAACUUUUUGCAAACUUUCUACCAGGUUUUCUGCCCAGCAGAUAAAGGGAAGAAAGUGACUGUAGUGUUUCUGGAUUUUAGUAAGGCUUUUUUAAACAGUUUUUGAUGCUGUUCUUCACAGUAGCUGUCCGGACAAGCUCUCCAGUUGUGGGGUGAGCAAAUUAGUGGUGCACUGGUAAAAGAGAUAGCUGAAUGACAGGGCUCAUAGGAUUGUAGUAAGGAGGAGUGCAUCUGGGUGGCACCCCAUCACCAGUGUUGCUCCUCAGGGCUCAGUUCAAGGGCCAGCUCUGCUGAAUACUCUUAUCUGGAGACAGUAGUUGAAUGCACCAUUAGCAACUUUGCUGAAUGACACCAAGUUGAGUGGUGCAGUUGGCUCUCUCACGUUGGCUCUCUCACCGUGCAAGAGGGCUUGCAGAGGGAUCUAGAUAGAUUGGAGCAUUGGGCAAUCACCAGUGGCAGGACAUUUGACAAGAACAAAUACUGGGCUUUGCAGCUGGAACAGGAACUGGACACUAGUUUUACCUGGGAGAGAAGUGACUGCAGAGUAGUCAUACAGAGAGGGAUCUCAGGGUGCUGGGUGACAGCAAGCUCAGUGUGAGCCAACAUGUGCCCUGGCAGCCAAGAGGGCAAACUUCACCCUUGGAUGCACCUCACACAGCACAAGCAGUUAAGAUUGUCCAACUGUACUCAGCAUUGUCAUGGCCUUCCUGUGAGUAACUGUGUGCAGUAAGGUUACUAAGGCACUUAAAUACAACCAGAUUAGGGCAGCCAAGCUGGUGGAAGUGCUGGAAGGCCUGUCCUGUAAGGAGCAGCUGAGGACUCUGGGUUUGUCUACACUGGAGAAGAUAAAGUCUGAGGGGUGACCUCCUUGCUCCCGGUAGGUCCGUGAGGAAGGAGAUACUUAACCCUUCUUGCUGAGAUCCAUCCAUAGGAUGCAUGGGAAUGAUUCAGAGUUGCACCAAGAGAGGUAUAAAUUGGACAUUAGGAAGCAUUUUUUACUGGUAGGGUGGUCAAUGACUGGAACAGGCUUCUUAGAAAGGGGCUCAGUGUUUAAGAGGCAUUUGGACAAUACCCAUGGUACCAUGCUUUAAAUUUUGGAUUGAUCAGGCUGAGUCAGUAGUAGUCAUAGGUUCCUUCCAACUGAGCAGUUGUCAGUCACAGAGUAAAAGAUUUUAAGUUAUUUUUGUUGGCAGUCAGGACACUGCUUUAGAGGCAUGGCUAUGAUGCAUGUUGUGUGAGCAUCUCCAGUACUCAUGUACUGUAGGUUUUUAACUCCGUCUUACAUAGAGAAGGGUUUGAGUCGCAAGUGAUUAGUGUAUCCUUUUUCAACAAGAUUUGCUUGAAUCUAAAAUCUGUGCCAGCUUCGUGAGAAGUUCUUUUUGCAUUAUCUACAAUCUAGAUGUUUGCUAUGACUGUCUUAGGUCACUCGCAAAUCACAAAGCUACUCAUUUUCCAUUUUAACCCAUUAAGGAAAAAAGGUAUAAUGUAAAGUAAGAUUGGUAGAAAUAUUGACUUUACGAGUAGCAUGUAUUGCCUCUUCUUAUUUCAUAUUUUUGUUGUGUUUUAAAAGUUUAUUGUCUGCUAGGAUAUCCACAAUGCUUGUCAAAGUCUCAAUUGCUUAGCUUCUACUGUAGUGAAAACCAAAAGGUACAAUAUGUGAGAAACAACCCUAUUUUUCAUCACACUGUCACCUUAAAAGUUUUAGAAAUUUUUUUUACCUGGUGCUUUGAAGUGUAUGGCUUCUUUCUGUAUUGAAGAGUUAAGAACAGAUGAAAUAAAUUAAGAACAUGGAAAGGACUUUGUCUUGAAGUGAAAGGUGAAAUUUUUAGUUUUGGUGCUAGCCUUAGCUUUAAAUGAAAAAGUUGGCUAUUUUGUUCUGGGCUAAAGCACUUAAAUGCCUGAGGAAACAAUUGCUGCAUUUUCAUAUCGUAAUUGAAAGUGGAGGAAAUGGUCAUGUUGAUUAUUUCUUAUAACAUUAAAAAUUGGAGAACCUGGAAGAAGGGUAUGUACUUUAUCUCUUUCCCAUUCUUACAAUGUUACUUUUGCUACUCCAUUUCAAAAGGAGAUAUGUUUUAUACAUUGGAGUAUAGUGAAAAGAUUAACCAAGAUUGAAUGCUGUUGUGUGUUCUUUCAAGCAGGGUAUUUAAACAGGUUGUUUAAGUACACUAGGGUUUCAGGACAGAAUUUAAAGCUGAGAAUCUCAGCAUUGUAUUUUAUAUCUCUUACAAGAAAGUAAAAAUGGUGCCUAAAUGUGGGACAGAGAAGUCACAAUGCACAGUCUACAGUAGUAUAAUGUAUUAUACAUAAUCUGAUAGCAGUACUAUAGUAUCAUAGUAUAUUCAUAUUUUUUUUAGUAGCUCAGAAAUAUUCUGUGUUGAAGUUCUUGAAUGUUGUAAACAUGUUUUGUAGGCACCUAGCUUGUAAAUUCUGGAGUUUCUAAAUGAAUGACCUUUGCUUUUAGCACUAAGUACCUAGACACAAAUUCUUUUUUUUAAGUCCUAUAGCUUUCUUGUAGUUGUUUGCCAGUUACUGAAAGUGACUCUGUCAGCAUUCUGUAAAUGUGCCUUUGCACAGUGUUUGGUGAGUGGCUAUUGGUCUGAGUUCUGGAACUUGAGCAAGGCUUGUUCCAUGGGUUAAAGAGUACUUCUGGAAAGCUAAAUGGAAUGGUUCAUUUUGUAGGUGAUGCACACAGGACCCAGGCCCAUUCAGCAAAGCUGUGGAGAGUGAGAAAACCAGAUGCAGAUAGUCUGCUUUUCUGUGAUAAGCACUGUGCCUUAAUCCUGAAACAUGAGUCACUGACUCCUCCUUCCGUGCUUUGUGAAGCACAAAGACAUUGACUCUACAAGAUGUCUUUUUCUAAAGUGUAAUUAUAGAUGAUUUUUUAAACUUGAUGCCUAUAAAUUUUUUCACAAAUGAUAAUAAAAAUUUCUAGUGUCAACCAUGACUUGUGUUACAAGUUACUGCUUUGCUAUUGCUUUGUUUGGUUUCUGCCUGAUUUGAUCAGCUGUUUUUUACAGAUGCAUAAGACACAUAGAGAAUAUGUAGCAAGGCAAUUUUUUCUUAGUAGAAGUAUGCUAGAAGAUGUAUUUUUAUGUGGCUUUUAUAUGCUAAAUGAUGUAUUGCUAGAUGCAAGAAUGAUGUAUUUUUAUGUGGCUUUUAUAUGCUAAAUGCCAUUUUGUAUUCACUACAUUAAUCCCGCACAAAACAGGACACUCUUAAUGGCCUUAAUCAAUUAAUGAAAACUGUUGACAUUUAGAAUUUUCUGACCUCUAAAUUCAUAGAGCUAAGUGUGUACACUUAUCAUUAAUUUUAGAAACUUACACAAAGUAUCAGUAUAGCAGUAUUUUACAUUUUUGGAUCAGAAAGUAGGAAAGAUUUACAUUACUUGAAUAUUUUAAAAUACUUUUCAGGCUCAGAAGGCAAAACAGAAAAACCCGAAGAUACGGAGUUUUGGAUACAAACAUAGAAAAUAUGGAGCUGACCCCAUUAGAACAAGAUGAUGAUGAUGAUGAUACACUAUUUGAUGCCAGCCAUCCUCGAAGAGAAGUACGUGCCUUUCAGUGAAAGAACUUAAUCUUAGAACCAGAGAAGGAGACUGCUUCAUGGGAGAAAUAAGAAGCAAGAGGGUAUGCGAGUGGGGCGGAACUAAUUUAAUGUGUGUAUUUUAUGGCAUCCUUAAUAUCUUGCAAUAAGUAAUGUAUCAAUUUGUUGUAUCUUUUUUGUAUAUAGAGAUUCUCAAUGUAUAGCCUAUGGGGAGAGAAUACUAACUGCACUAAGAUAAAAAACCUAUUUGGAAGGGAGAUUACUUGUAAAACAGGCUGUUUUUUGCUUGUUACAAAUCUUGUAUGCCAUUAAGUAUGGUAUACACUUUUUUUCUACAGUAACCUGGAAUGUUAAUUUUUUCUUCUGAUAUUAAAUUGUAAAUAAAUAUAGCCACUGUGGACUUCCCUGAAUUGUUUGAACUUGAUUUUAAUUGAGGAGAUGAUUUAUUGUUUACCAAUAAAAAGCCAAACUACUGCCUUCUGUGUUGAGAAUUUAAAAAGCUGAAUUAACAUGUUUUGUGUAAACUUCAGUGCAAAAAUAAAAUGUGUUUACAGUGUUCCUAGCAUUUACUGUGAUACUCCAACACUAUACAUUUUACAUACUACAUCAAGGAUACUUGAGAUAUUAAUAUAAUUAUGUAAAACAUGGUAUUGCAACACCUUCUUGCCAUUGAGACUCCCAAUUGCAACUGUUGAGUUAAUUUUUGCCUGAGGUCUAUCUUCAGCUUGUGUGAGCAGAUGUGGUUCAGUGACUUUAGGCCGUUGUGGUGUAAUCCACAUGUUGUCAGUAUUCAGACCUGUAGUGAAACAGAGAUAAGCCUUUGGAAAAAUUCUAAAUGUUCUGUAACUGAAAUGAAACAUUGGCAUCAGAAGCAGCUGUUGCUGAAAUGUGUGGUAAUACUCACAUGAAUGUAGUUGACAUACAGCAGUUAUACUUAAUUUUUGUUUAGGCCCAUAAAAAUUAUUAGAACAGUCUUUAAGACCUGGAAGAUAUACAUUUUUUAAUGUGUUGCAGUUUCCACUGUAACUUUGAUAAUGUAGACAAAAUGUUAAAAUUCUAGUUUAUAAUUAAUGUAUAUUUGUUGCUAAUUCCAUAUAUCCAUAAAUAUCAAGGCAUAAAGUUGCUACAGCAGUAUUGCUGUGUGUGACUGUAUCCUCAAAAUGCCAAAGUUGUGGGCUACAGAGAAAGGGGAAUAAUUAUUCCUGAUUCUUCAUCCUCUUGGUGUUUGAACAAAACCGGAGUACUUUUCUUUGAGGUUAUUCCUACAGUGACUGGGUGGGGAGGGAGUCUGCUGUAGAUUUUCUUUACCUCUACUGGCUGAUUUGUUAUGUUGAAACGUUCUUACUUGAUAAUAGUAACAGCUCAGAUGAGGUCAAAUCAGCCUCCCAGGGUCAUUUUUACCUAUGGCUGGUGAUGUGCCACACACAGCUGGGAAAUAGAUUGUAUUUACAAUAAACACGAGUCUUUAUUUUGCAUCCUGUUGUAUCUAACUUUUUCUGCUUACGUUUAAAGAUAAAACACAGCACUAAUUCUUGGAACUGCUUCGUUGAGGAAUCUGGAGACAUAGUAAAGAAUAGGUUUUAGGGUAGUAGACUGCAAGGUGAGAGAACAGUAAAUGAUAGAAGGCAAAGUAUAUAUCAAGGGGACUGUCAGUGUUAAACUAAACAUAAUUGAAAUCUUUCAGAAAUACAGACUGUCUUCCUGACAUCCUAGAAUUUGUACCUGUAAAAUCUUUCUUCUGUGGACUUUGACCCACCCUGAGGAUGUGUUAUGCUUGUUAUGCACAGUAUUUGAACUGUUUAAGCAAGUUAAGAUCACUGGAAAUGCAAUCAGUCUUUAAGCUCUUGUAUGUGCUGCAGGUAAACCUUGAUGUUUUUCUGCAGAUAAAAUAAAAUGAAGCAGGUUAUUUAUGUUUCCAAGCAAAUUUUCUGGUGGGGAAAAAAAUCCAACCACAAAUUUUCUCAAAAAUUUUAUUUAGACUUCUUUUAUCCUUGCCUCCAAAAUGAUGAGGCUCUAUUUAUGGGUGAAGCAUCUGUAAAGCAAUCAUACAAUUUGUAAUAAAUUGAAACAGUUUUGAUUUCUGAUAUGUCAAAUACCAUGUAGUUGAUGGAGCAAGCUUCCUGGGCCUUAUUCAGCUUGGAUCUAAUUUUAGUAGCUGAAUUAGUUCUCAUUGCAUUUGCAGACACAAACUUAGUCAAAGAAUAAUCAUGGUGUUGUAUAUCUUGGUCUUAACAGUUGGAAAUUGCAGCUGUGAGUUAUGGACAUCCCCUCUCAAUAGGUACAACACUAUCAGUACCAUUUCCAACUACAUGCAAAAAGCUAUUCUUGGAGCUGUUCUAACAUACUUUUAAAAAUUUGGAAAAAAAUAUGCCACUGCAGAUGCCAGUAACCGACCCAUGCAUAAACCAAACUGAAGUUUAUAUCAAGCUUAUUUAUCACUUUAAAAUUUCAUAAAAAAACAAGAUUAAAAAGAUGAAGACAAAUAUUUAUGAAAUGUUUAACUGAGUAGCUGUGUAUGGAAAAUGUUAUCCCCAUUUGAACUAAAAUAUUAAUAGGCCAGUAAAGAAUGUGAGCUGAUCUGCUGUUGUAAAGCUCCUUGAAGAUAGGAGAUAGCCCAAGUUUAACGAGAAAUAAUCUGGGAGAGGCUAGCUUUCUUCUAGAACUUGAAUUUCUGAAGACAAAAAAUGGAAUAUGGAGAAAAAUCUUGGAAGAUUGAAAAGAAAUGUUUAAAGAUACUUUUACAAUUUUUACAGUAUUAAAGCUCUUACAGCAAAUCUAUUACUGUCAGGACUUUGUGGCUUUUUUCCUUCACUAGUGUAAUUUGAGGCCCAACUUGUACAAGAAUAUGUAGUUCCCGAUCAAAUCUGAAUGUAUUAGUUCACUACAUUGUUAGGAUAAUGGAGCAGGCACCCUGUGAUACCAUGAAUGGGUCUGAGCAUAAGAAAUCCAUAUGACUGAAGACACAAAGCAUUUUUAUUUUUCAUGUUGACCAGUAGGAGCCUGGAACAAUCUUUUAAUACAUAAGCCAACCGAAAAACUUGACCCAAAACGAAAGACCCAAUAUGAGUGGACUGCUUCACAGUUUCAGGAUAGACUUCUGUUUGCUGUGGUUGUUGUUUCAUGGUACUAUUGAUGAUGGUGCUUUCAUCAAAUUGUCAACUCUUAAACCCCUGCAGAAUUGAUCCAUGAGAUUUUUGUGUGAUUUUUCCCUGUCCACAAUUACUUGCCAUUUCCAAGUGGCUUGCACUCAAUUAACUUCUAUCUUGAAACAUUCUUAUUUUAAGGAACAAUUAAACAAGAAGAUUUCUUUGAGGUAUUAUCAUGAUGGAUGAGUAAGUUUAAGAUUUUAUUACAAGCUACAAGGAAGGUUCUUAAAUCAUGAAAUCUUUUUCAUGUAAUUUCCUGCUUCCUUCAGUUGGGAAAGUAUGAGCCUAUGUUUUUGACAUAAGCCUUUUCAGUGCUUACGGCAGUAUGCUUUGCACAAAAUGCAAAGCAUAAUAAUGUUUUCCUAAGUGAUCUGGACAUAUGAAUCAAAGGCACAUUAAGUAAAUUUGCUGUUGCAAUUAAUCUUAUCUGAGCACCUGGACUCCCUCAAGUGUAGAGAGACGUUAUAGAGAGAUCUGAGUAGACUAUGGAUAAUCUAGGUGUAUGUAGGUGUAUGAAGAUUGAAGAUUAUCCUAGACUAGGAUAAUCACCAGGAGUAUGAAAUCUAAUACAGACCAAGUGCUGGAUUCUCCAGCUGCAACGAGAUAAUAAUACAUACAGACUGGGGGACAAGAGGCUGAAGAACAGCCUUCAGAAAGAUAUCUGGGGAUUGGAGUUAAUGGCAGGUUGAACAUGAGUCAGCAGUGUCCUGGCUGCCAGGUGGGCCGACCGUGUCCUGGGAUGCAGCCGGAUGAGGGAGGGGCUUCUGCUCUGCUCUGUUUUGAGCACCACAGUAUGAGAAGGACAGAGAACUACUGGUUUGUUCAGCUUGGAGGAGAGAAGGCAGCAGGCAAGAGGGCAGCAGAGUGCGAGAUGCUGAUGUCUGUGCUGACCAGUGAAAGGGCAGAAUGGAUGUGAAUGAAGUUGCGUCCAGCGGAAUUCAGAUUGGACAUACGGCACAAUCUGAGUUCAAAAGUUACACCAUAGUUCCUUUUGAUACCUAUUAAUAUCAACGUAGGUAAUGGGCACUGUGUUUAUCAAUUUUCUUCCGUAAUCACCCUGUUUCAUAGAAACAAAGACUCAUUCAUGCUAACUUCAGAAAACUUGGUCCAUAAAGACAGAGGAUGAAACAGUACAUGUUCUCACUCAAGCAUUUCAUUGCUCAUUAUUUAAAGAAAAGUCAGUGUCAGUUGACAGCUGAUUGGAUCUUGCAUUGCAUAAAGAAAUACUCAUUUUUAUGAAACAAAUUCUUUAUUCUUUCCACAGCUUUUUCUUAAAAAAAGAAAAUAAAUCCAGCAAAAAGCCUGGAGGUAAGGUAAAUGGUGUUUAUGAGGAAUCUUAAUUAAACUUCUUCAAGACUUUACAUUAUUGAAAGGUCUAGAUGCCAGGUUUUGAAACUUGAGAGAUUUAAUGAGGAAUAUGUUUGCACUGAUACUACUCCUUUUACCUGCCUUGGUCAUUGUCCAAUAUGAGGUGUGUGACUGUGUGGAUUUCUCUUCAGACCAAACACAGUCAUUUUUAUUCUGUGCUCUGAUAGAGUCCAAAGACCUCUCAUCUUUCUAAACAGAAAACACAGUUUUAUGAAGACAUAAACCUGGUGAAUCAAAGCAGACAUAUAUACAUUAGCAUUUUUUUGUCAUGUUUCUGAAAGUUAGUAGUACACUUCCCAGUAAGAAGAUUGUUCAGAUAAGUGGUAAAAUUUAAUUCACAGUUUAACUGUCCUUUCUAUCAGAUCUUAAAUUUUGCUUUUCCUGAUAUGAAAUCUAAAUCUUGGUUUUAGUCAUUUUAAGCCUAUUUCACUGUAGCUACAGUUAAUAGUAAAAAGAACUUUGUCUUUUUGCAGAUUUGCCAUUUCUGUCGAGAUAAUUAUAUUGCCUCACCGUCUUGUCUAAACAAGACACCCUCAGUUUCUUUUGUUCUGUAUUGGUUUUGCAUUGUUUUUUGGUAAGAGGGCAUGCUACAGGGGUGGCUUCUGGGAGAAGCUGCUAGAAGCUUCCACUCUAUUCAGCAGGUUCGAUCCCUGGUGUCUACCGAGAUAAACGUGCUGCUGGCCAAACCUGGGCCAGUUAGAAAUGGUGAUAAUGCCUCUGUGAUAACAAACACAUUUAAGAAGAAAGAUAAACAAAAAGUUGUUGCACAGUUUUAAUUCCAGCCAGAGUAGAGCAGGGUGAGAAUAUGUGAGAAGAAAACUAUGCAGACAACAAGGUCAGUGGAGAAAGAGAGUGAGAAGGUGCACCAGGUGCUGGAGUUGAGAUUUGUUUGCAGGCUGUGGUGAGGACCAUGGUGAGGCAGCUGUGUCCCUACAGCCCAUGGAGGUCCUGGGGAUGUAGAGAUCCACCUGCAUCCCAUGCAGGAGCCCCCACAGAAGUAGGUGGAUGUCUGUGAGGAAGCUAUGAUCCUGUGGGAGACCUGUGGAGAGAGGGCCCUGCUCCUGUGCUGGAGCAGCCUGUCCUUGAGGCUGAGUGGAAGAGCGACCUUGCUGCAGCAAUCUGGGGAGGACAGCUGCCCCUGGGACUGUCCCUGUGGGCUCACACUGCAGCAGGGAGCUGCUGCUCAUGAGAUGGAGCCACGUCAGAGAAGUUCACAGAGAAGUGUCUCCUGUGGGAGGGGACCAGUGGUGCAGCAAUGGAGUGACUCCUCUUCCUGAGCGGCAGGAGAAGCCACGGGAGGUGAACUGAUCAUGACCCCCACUCCAUGUCUCCUUGCAUUGCUGGGGUAAGAGGUGCAGCUGAGAAGGAGGGAGGGGUGGAGGGAAGGUAGUUUCAAGGGGCUUGUUUUACUUCUCCUUAUCCUGCUCUGAUUUUUUUUAAUAGUAAUAAAUUCACUUCAUAUCCCUGAGUUGAUCCUCUUUUACCAAUGAUUGUAUUUGAUGAGGGGUCUCUCCUGAUUCUUAUCUCAACCCUGAACUCUUCGUUGUAUUUUCUCUCCUCUGUCCAGCUGCAGAGGGAAGUUAAUGAGCGGCUUUCACUGGUGCCUGGCAUCUGGCCCAGGUCAAUCCAUUACACCUCCUAAGAUAAUUAUAUUUGAUAAUUAUAUAUAGUUAUAUAUAAUUAUAUAGUUAUAUAAGCAUAUACCUUGCUUAGUAUGCCUCCAAAUCCUGCAUCUAAGUUAUCUGUGAAGACAUUGAAGGCCUGGAAUAGAGCCCUGUGGAACCCCACUAAUGACAGAUCACCAGCGUGAUGUCUCCCCAUUCACUGUCACUGGUUGUGCCCAACCCAUUAGCCAGGUGCUGUAUUUGUGAUGAUGUGUUUAUUCAGCUUUGUCCAGGACACCAAGGAAGACAGCAUUGAUGACUACUGAAAUCCAGAAAGAUGAUUACAUCAACUGACUUCUCUUGAUUGAUGAGGUGGAGAAUCUUGUCAUGAAUGGGUGUCAGAAGGACUUUGCCCUCAUGAACUCAUGCUGGCUGUGAAUGAUGACUGUGUUGUCCUUCAGGAGUUUCCUUGUUUCCUGCCAGAAGGAGAAAAUGAAUGAACUUUCAUUGUACACUUUUCCUCACACAUUCGCAUGAUUUAGGUCAUAUUCCAGGAUUUAAAUGUUUUUCUGCAUAAAGAGUAACUAGUUUUUUCUGUAGCUUUAUUUCAAAAUACCCACACCAAUUAUGUCUUAGGCCUUUAAAUGAAUAAAACCAAAUCAAUUUUCACAGAAACACCAGAAGUUCUUACUCUCACUCUAUAGCUAAGAUACCAAGACCAUGAGAAAUUAAAUUGUUACUGAUUUUAGUAAAUUUUCAUCAGUUAAAACAGAUAGAGAUGAUUUUCCAGGGUGUUGAAGCAUUUCAUAUGCUCUAUGUAUGUGCUAUAUUUUAAAUUUUUGUGUUGUAUGAACUUUCAUAGAGCCAGAAUCCUAAUUUGACUGAUCAGCAAAUGAGAACUACAUUGUGAAUGCCAAGCUGGACAAAUUUUGAGUUAAAACAUUUCUUUGACAUCACUUGGAAGCUCAGUGGCAAGCUUGGAGUGGAAUCAGUUUCUCUAGAGCUUUGGUCAAUUUUGUUUCCCUUUCUUUUUCCUUUUAAGCUUGAAAUAAAGCACAUAUGCCUGUAA